This 443-nucleotide ribosomal RNA is filed under the name uncultured bacterium. RNAcentral's name for it is "partial 16S ribosomal RNA". It matches the Rfam family "Bacterial small subunit ribosomal RNA", at positions 338 to 795 of the family's 1533-position model. The record is from RNAcentral.
CCUACGGGCGACAGCAGUGGGGAAUAUUGGACAAUGGGGGGAACCCUGAUCCAGCGACGCCGCGUGAGUGAAGAAGUAUUUCGGUAUGUAAAGCUCUAUCAGCAGGGAAGAAAGAAAUGACGGUACCUGACUCAGAAGCCCCGGCUAACUACGUGCCAGCAGCCGCGGUAAUACGUAGGGGGCAAGCGUUAUCCGGAUUUACUGGGUGUCAAGGGAGCGUAGGCGGCAGCGCAAGUCUGGAGGGAAAUGCCGGGGCCCAACCCCGGAACUGGCCUUGAAACUGUGAAGCUGGAGUGCAGGAGAGGUAAGCGGAAUGCGUGGUGUAGCGGUGAAAUGCGUAGAUAUCAGGCGGAACACCGGCGGCGAAGGCGGCGUACUGGACUGUAACUGACGUUGAGGCUCGAAGGCGUGGGGAGCGAACAGGAUUAGAUACCCCGGUAGUC